UACGUAGGUGGCAAGCGUUGUCCGGAAUUAUUGGGCGUAAAGCGCGCGCAGGCGGUCCCUUAAGUCUGAUGUGAAAUCCCACGGCUCAACCGUGGAAGGUCAUUGGAAACUGGGGGACUUGAGUACAGAAGAGGAAAGCGGAAUUCCAAGUGUAGCGGUGAAAUGCGUAGAGAUUUGGAGGAACACCAGUGGCGAAGGCGGCGAUCUGGGUCGAUACUGACGCUGAGGUGCGAAAGCGUGGGGAGCAAACAGG
RNAcentral lists this ribosomal RNA (253 nucleotides) under uncultured bacterium. Its description in RNAcentral is "partial 16S ribosomal RNA". It matches the Rfam family "Bacterial small subunit ribosomal RNA", at positions 524 to 776 of the family's 1533-position model. The record is from RNAcentral.